This 122-nucleotide ribosomal RNA is filed under the name Methanosarcinaceae archaeon. The record is from RNAcentral. Lineage: Archaea; Methanobacteriati; Methanobacteriota; Methanomicrobia; Methanosarcinales; Methanosarcinaceae. RNAcentral also lists the same sequence under 1 other name.
UUUGGCGGCCAUAGCGGCAGGGGUACUCCUGUUCCCAUCCCGAACACAGCAGAUAAGCCUGCCCACGUUUCCUUUUGUACUAAAGUGCGCGAGCCUUUGGGAAUUAGGAAUCGCUGCCAUGU